This 72-nucleotide transfer RNA is filed under the name Urocitellus parryii (Arctic ground squirrel). Its description in RNAcentral is "Spermophilus parryii (Arctic ground squirrel) tRNA". It matches the Rfam family "tRNA". From Rfam's summary of the family: Transfer RNA (tRNA) molecules are approximately 80 nucleotides in length. Their secondary structure includes four short double-helical elements and three loops (D, anti-codon, and T loops). The record is from Rfam by way of RNAcentral. RNAcentral also lists the same sequence under 2 other names. Lineage: Eukaryota; Metazoa; Chordata; Mammalia; Rodentia; Sciuridae.
AGUGUUGUGGCUCAGUGGUAGAGCACUUGCCUACCAUGUGUGAGGCACUGGGUUCAAUUCUCAUCACCACAU